GCCAACACAAGACCAUUUCCUAAAUAAGCGAUGAAUGAACCCCGUUCAUGUUAAUGACGUGACAACAGGUACUUCUGUAUGCACAGCUGUUAAAGUGGACGAUCGGCGCUUAUCAACAAGAGAUCUAUAGAGGAAACAUGCCUUCAGUUCCAUCCAACAAAGAGAACGACGGUCCUACCUGCCCUUUUGCUGGCAAGAAGACCACUGGUAGGAAUGGCGUUGAGAAGUUGGUUUCAGAUGAUGUAGACAGACCUCUACAGCUAAAUAGAGAAACUGAAGCCACUGACCCAAAAUGGAUUCGUCCGGACCUGCCAAGUAGAUGUACCUGGAAACCAGGAAUGUCUCUUGAAAGUUCCCCUCACAAAUACUUCCCCAGGACAAAAGCUGAGAAGAUUCUACCCAACAUCCUGGAUAUGAUUGGAGACACACCACUGGUCCGCAUAAACAAGAUCUCUAAGACUUUUGGACUAAAAUGUGAACUUU
Molecule: long non-coding RNA, 483 nt
Organism: Carassius carassius (crucian carp)
Lineage: Eukaryota; Metazoa; Chordata; Actinopteri; Cypriniformes; Cyprinidae
Exons: 3
Source: RefSeq, a predicted model, not a curated record